CUGACUCAGGGAGGUAGUGACAAAAAAUAACUGUUUAGGGCCCUUUGUGGUCUUAUUUUGGAAAUGAGAACAAUUUAAAUCCCUUAUCGAGGAUCAAUUGGAGGGCAAGUCUGGUGCCAGCAGCCGCGGUAAUUCCAGCUCCAAUAGCGUAUAUUAAUGUUGUUGCAGUUAAAAAGCUCGUAGUUGGAUUUCUGAUCGGUUCGUCUAUCCAGGUCCGCAAGGAUCUGUGUGUGACGCAACCUGUCAUCCUCAGGGGGACUGUUCACUGGCAUUCAGUUGUCGGUGUCGGGACGCCUGUCGUUUACUGUGGACAAAUUAGAGUGUUCAAAGCAAGGUGUUCUUGAAUACAUUAGCAUGGAAUAAUAAGAUAGGACUCUGACGGUUCUUUUUGAUAUUUUUGUUGGUUUUGCACGCCAGAGUACUGAUUAAUAGGAGCAGUUGGGGGUAUUCGUAUUCAAUUGUCAGAGGUGAAAUUCUUGGAUCUAUAGAAGACGAACUACUGC
Molecule: ribosomal RNA, 503 nt
Filed under: uncultured dictyochophyte
Lineage: Eukaryota; Dictyochophyceae
Description: bacterial SSU rRNA
Rfam family: Eukaryotic small subunit ribosomal RNA
Source: RNAcentral